Perca fluviatilis (European perch) is the source of this 1689-nucleotide long non-coding RNA. RefSeq lists it as uncharacterized. Lineage: Eukaryota; Metazoa; Chordata; Actinopteri; Perciformes; Percidae. The record is from RefSeq and is a predicted model, not a curated record. The transcript is spliced from 3 exons.
AAAGGAAAUCGCAGCCAUACGGGCUGUGCUCCCCCAGCUGAACUGUCUCUGCAUUUUAGCGGUGGGAGAAAAGACGCUAUAUGGCGAUGUGCUCCUCCCUCCACCCUGCCAACCUCAUCUGUCAGCCAUUAGUUAAUCAGAGCUGGUAACACAGAGCACAGAGAGCUGGCACAGCUCGUGGGACCAGAGGACAGCUUCACCUCUGAGAGCAAGAAGAGGGCAAGGACUCAGGGACCUCUGCUUCACCGAUCUACAGCUGGGCUGCUUCACUCACCAGCACCCACUCAGGACUGGCAGGCGUCAACCUCAAGAUGACCCCACCCACUGCUUUUCUGUGAACAGAUUUAAAUUAAAGCCAUGACAAGAACCGUGCUUGUGAGGACCAGGGGGACCUUCCAGUCACCGCUUCUAUUGCUCACACUCGGCUGGCAUAUGUGCAGGAUCAGGAAACACAAGCCCAAUGAUGUCACAAACAACUGACCCCAGGGUGACAGGUUCGGAGAGUGUUCUCGCCCAAUGCCCUCAGGCCAAAGUCAAGUAUGUCAAUGUUGUGCAUGUGGAUUUCAUUUGAAGCAGCGUGAUUAGUUCACAGACGCGCAACUGCCAUCCCCCCUCCAUGGGAACCCCACUCUUGACAGGAAAUGGUAUGUUUUUGUUAGCAACAAACAGGCAUAAAUUACUAAAAUGGUGCCUUGGUUGCCAAUUUAUCACACACAGCCUUAUUGUUGCUGCCUGCACACACUGACUUCGACAUUGCUUUUAAGGUAAAUACUAUUAGUUAAUGAUAUUUACAUUCCUGAUAGUUUAUGUUGAACUGUGUCUGCAAUCAUAAAUUUGUGAAAUAAAUGUGAUGAUUGUGUUGUGUCUUUUCUUCUUUAUAUGACAAAUAUGUUUUGAUGACCUGUAUUUGGGAAAUAAAUAUAGCUUUUGGUAAUCAUUCAUUCAUUUUGAAGCUGUGACUGCAAGAUUAGAAAUUAUUAAAGGUCCAGGGAGAAAAAUGGAGGCAGAUUAUUUUAGAUAGACAAACUAAAGCAAUAAAUGAAAUGACAUUUGAAAAGUAGUUUUGGACAUAAUUGUCCUUCUGUUAUUGAAUGCCAGCAUAAAAGAUUACUCGUUGAUCAAAUGUUUAUCAGAAAGCAGUGCAGAUUUGUGAAUACUGUCAAGAGGGUAGUAUACCAUCAUUAAUAAAAGCCAUUUCCCUGUAAGCAAGUUAUAGAUAGUAAUGGCUUGGCUAAAAUGUCUUAUAAGUAAUGGUAUCUGUGGAAUAAUAAAUGUGUUAACUACUUCCCCAAGAGGGGAUUAAACAGUAUACAAUAAUAUUGAAUCUUUUUCAUGUGUGAUAUAUAUUUAAGAAUGUAUUUGAUAUAUUGAAAAAACUACCAGGAUUUUUUUUGUUGAGUUACUGCUACAAACUGAUGUGACCUAUAUUGCUGUUGCAAAAAAAGUAUUUUUAUUUAGCACAGAAGAAUACUUUGGGGAUACUACCAACAGAAGAGGCCAUUAGAUAAGGUAAGACACACGCUGAAGCCAUGAGAAAUAUGUUGACAAUGGUAUGUAAUACAAGAACCCCUUGACCAUUUUAUUACCCUCUGUCCUCUAAAAGACCAUCAGCUUCUAAAGUUUUGCCAUUUCACUGAGACAAUGUUUAAUGUUUGGUUCUAUGAAAUGAUUAAAAGGUUUAAAAAAAAA